UACAGAGACCUCAAGCGUUAUCCGGAUUUACUGGGCGUAAAGGGUCCGCAGGUGGUUUGGAAAGUCAUUUGUUAAAUUCCAGAGCUUAACUCUGGAGCCGCAGAUGAUACUUUCAGACUAGAGGCUGGGAGAGGUAUACGGAACUACUAGUGUAGCGGUAAAAUGCGUUAAUAUUAGUAGGAACACCAAAGGCGAAGGCAGUAUACUGGAACAGUCCUGACACUCAGGGACGAAAGCGUGGGGAGCGAAUGGG
This 253-nucleotide ribosomal RNA is filed under the name uncultured bacterium. RNAcentral describes it as "partial 16S ribosomal RNA". It matches the Rfam family "Bacterial small subunit ribosomal RNA", at positions 524 to 776 of the family's 1533-position model. The record is from RNAcentral.